RNAcentral lists this ribosomal RNA (174 nucleotides) under uncultured Methanomicrobiales archaeon. RNAcentral describes it as "partial 16S ribosomal RNA". It matches the Rfam family "Archaeal small subunit ribosomal RNA", at positions 1165 to 1338 of the family's 1478-position model. Lineage: Archaea; Methanobacteriati; Methanobacteriota; Methanomicrobia; Methanomicrobiales. The record is from RNAcentral.
UUGGGCUACACGCGGGCUACAAUGGGUGGGACAAUGGGUAUCGACACCGAAAGGUGAAGGCAAUCUCCUAAACCCAUCCGUAGUUCGGAUUGUGGGCUGCAACUCGCCCACAUGAAGCUGGAAUCUGUAGUAAUCGUGUUUCAAAAUAGCACGGUGAAUAUGUCCCUGCUCCUU